RNAcentral lists this ribosomal RNA (1344 nucleotides) under metagenome. RNAcentral's name for it is "bacterial LSU rRNA". It matches the Rfam family "Bacterial large subunit ribosomal RNA", at positions 1555 to 2925 of the family's 2925-position model. The record is from RNAcentral.
UGAGCCAGGCGAAAGGACGCCGAGUGAGGUGGAUCCGGUGAUGCUCUGUGGCGAGAAAAGCGAUGUAGAUUGACGAGGCGCCCGUACCGCAAACCGACACAGGUAGAUGAGGAGAGAAUCCUAAGGCCAACGGGAGAAGGGUUGUUAAGGAACUAGGCAAAUUGGUCCCGUAACUUCGGAAUAAGGGACGCCGUCGCAAGACGGUCGCAGAGAAUAGGCCCAAGCAACUGUUUACCAAAAACACAGGUCUCUGCUAAAUCGAAAGAUGACGUAUAGGGGCUGACGCCUGCCCGGUGCCGGAAGGUUAAGAGGAGGACUUAGGGGGUGACUCCGAAGGCCCGAAUUGGAGCCCCGGUAAACGGCGGCCGUAACGAUAGCGGUCCUAAGGUAGCGAAAUUCCUUGUCAGGUAAGUUCUGACCCGCACGAAAGGCGUAAUGAUUUGGGCACUGUCUCAACAGCCCGCCCGGCGAAAUUGUAGUACCGGUGAAGAUGCCGGUUACCCGCAACUAGACGGAAAGACCCCAUGGAGCUUUACUGCAGCUUAAUACUGAGAUUCGGUAAAUCAUGUACAGGAUAGGUGGGAGACUAGGAAGCAUGGCCGUCAGGUUGUGUGGAGUCAAGCUUGGGAUACCACCCUUGGUUUGCUGGGUUUCUAACCUGCGGCCGUGAAACCGGUCGGGGGACACUGUUAGGCGGGCAGUUUGACUGGGGCGGUCGCCUCCUAAAGAGUAGCGGAGGCGCUCAAAGGUUGGCUCAGCAUGGAUGGAAACCAUGCAGUGAGUGUAAACGUAUAAGCCAGCCUGACUGCGAGACCGACGGGUCGAGCAGAGACGAAAGUCGGAGUUAGUGAUCCGGUGGUAUGUGAGUGGAAAUGCCAUCGCUCAACGGAUAAAAGCUACCCUGGGGAUAACAGGCUGAUCUCCCCCAAGCGUCCACAGCGACGGGGAGGUUUGGCACCUCGAUGUCGGCUCGUCGCAUCCUGGGGCUGAAUUCGGUCCCAAGGGUUUGGCUGUUCGCCAAUUAAAGCGGCACGCGAGCUGGGUUCAGAACGUCGUGAGACAGUUCGGUCCCUAUCUGUUGCGGGCGUAGGAGAUUUGAAGGGAGCUGUCCUUAGUACGAGAGGACCGGGAUGGACAUACCUCUGGUGCACCAGUUGUCCUGCCAAGGGCACAGCUGGGUAGCUACGUAUGGACGAGAUAAACGCUGAAGGCAUCUAAGCGUGAAACUCCCCCUAAGAUAAGAUCUCCACUGAGGUUCGACGUAGACUAUGUCGUAGAUAGGUCAGGGGUGGAAGUACAGUAAUGUAUGGAGCUGACUGAUACUAAUAAACCGAAAGCUUGACC